This 445-nucleotide ribosomal RNA is filed under the name uncultured bacterium. RNAcentral's name for it is "partial 16S ribosomal RNA". It matches the Rfam family "Bacterial small subunit ribosomal RNA", at positions 354 to 796 of the family's 1533-position model. The record is from RNAcentral.
GUGAGGAAUAUUGGACAAUGGGUGCAAGCCUGAUCCAGCCAUGCCGCGUGCAGGAAGACGCAUCUAUGGUGUGUAAACUGCUUUUGUACGGGAAGAAACACUCCCUCGUGAGGGAGCUUGACGGUACCGUAAGAAUAAGGAUCGGCUAACUCCGUGCCAGCAGCCGCGGUAAUACGGAGGAUCCAAGCGUUAUCCGGAAUCAUUGGGUUUAAAGGGUCCGUAGGCGGUUUAAUAAGUCAGUGGUGAAAGCCCAUCGCUCAACGAUGGAACGGCCAUUGAUACUGUUAGACUUGAAUUACAAGGAAGUAACUAGAAUAUGUAGUGUAGCGGUGAAAUGCUUAGAUAUUACAUGGAAUACCAAUUGCGAAGGCAGGUUACUACUUGUGGAUUGACGCUGAUGGACGAAAGCGUGGGGAGCGAACAGGAUUAGAUACCCGUGUAGUCC